CUACGGGAGGCUGCAGUGGGGAAUAUUGGGCAAUGGGCGCAAGCCUGACCCAGCAACGCCGCGUGAGGGAAGAAUGUCUUCGGAUUGUAAACCUCUGUCCUUGGGGACGAAAAAAAUGACGGUACCCAAGGAGGAAGCUCCGGCUAACUACGUGCCAGCAGCCGCGGUAAUACGUAGGGAGCAAGCGUUGUCCGGAAUUACUGGGCGUAAAGGGUGCGUAGGCGGCGCUGUAAGUCAGAUGUGAAAUCCCCGGGCUUAACUCGGGAGUUGCAUUUGAAACUACAGUGCUUGAGUAAAGAAGGGGUAAGUGGAAUUCCUAGUGUAGCGGUGGAAUGCGUAGAUAUUAGGAGGAACACCAGUGGCGAAGGCGACUUACUGGUCUUUUACUGACGCUGAGGCACGAAAGCGUGGGGAGCAAACAGGAUUAGAUACCCGUGUAGUC
This 442-nucleotide ribosomal RNA is filed under the name uncultured bacterium. Its description in RNAcentral is "partial 16S ribosomal RNA". It matches the Rfam family "Bacterial small subunit ribosomal RNA", at positions 339 to 795 of the family's 1533-position model. The record is from RNAcentral.